CCUACGGGAGGCAGCAGUGGGGAAUCUUGCACAAUGGAGGAAACUCUGAUGCAGCGAUGCCGCGUGAGUGAAGAAGGCCUUUGGGUUGUAAAGCUCUUUUGUAGGGGAAGAUAAUGACUGUACCCUAAGAAUAAGGUCCGGCUAACUUCGUGCCAGCAGCCGCGGUAAUACGAAGGGACCUAGCGUAGUUCGGAAUUACUGGGCGUAAAGCGCGCGUAGGCCGUUGAGUUAGUUAAUUGUGAAAUCCCAAAGCUUAACUUUGGAACUGCAAUUAAAACUGCUCGACUAGAGUUUGAUAGAGGAAAGCGGAAUACAUAGUGUAGAGGUGAAAUUCGUAGAUAUUAUGUAGAACACCAGUUGCGAAGGCGGCUUUCUGGAUCAACACUGACGCUGAGGCGCGAAAGUAUGGGUAGCAAAGAGGAUUAGAUACCCUCGUAGUCCAUACCAUAAACGAUGAUUGCUAGAUGUUGGAAAUUUAUUUUACUAGUAUCGCAGCUAACGCAUUAAGCAAUCCGCCUGGGGAGUACGACCGCAAGGUUAAAACUCAAAGGAAUUAGAACGUGUGAGAGUGACGAGCACAGAGGAGAGG
This 589-nucleotide ribosomal RNA is filed under the name uncultured bacterium. RNAcentral describes it as "bacterial SSU rRNA". It matches the Rfam family "Bacterial small subunit ribosomal RNA", at positions 338 to 945 of the family's 1533-position model. The record is from RNAcentral.